UGGACAUAUUAUUGUAUUCGACUGUAUUCAUGGCGUGAAAUAGGAAAUUACACUAUUUUAAAACGGAAAGUGAAUCAAUUAAUAUAAUAGACUCCU
This 96-nucleotide microRNA precursor is filed under the name Nicotiana sylvestris (wood tobacco). RNAcentral describes it as "MIR6152 microRNA precursor family". It matches the Rfam family "MIR6152 microRNA precursor family". RNAcentral also lists the same sequence under 1 other name. The record is from Rfam by way of RNAcentral. Lineage: Eukaryota; Viridiplantae; Streptophyta; Magnoliopsida; Solanales; Solanaceae.